Piliocolobus tephrosceles (Ugandan red Colobus) is the source of this 876-nucleotide long non-coding RNA. RefSeq lists it as uncharacterized. The transcript is spliced from 2 exons. NCBI's taxonomy places the organism in Eukaryota, Metazoa, Chordata, Mammalia, Primates, Cercopithecidae. The record is from RefSeq and is a predicted model, not a curated record.
UGAACUCCUGACCCCAAAUGAUCCUCCUGCCUUGGCCUCCCAGAGUGUUGGAAUUACAGGUGAUGGCCUGUGGGCAGAACCACGCGCGGGAAGUGCCUGCCAGUGGGCGUUAGGAGAUGUAUGUGGAGCCUGUGAUAGCCAAUCAAAAACUGUCCCCUUCUAACCCAGAAAAGCCACAUGCUUUGCUGGAUGCUGCUUGAAAUCUGAACUCUGCACCUAAAUAUGUGGGUAAAAUUAGACACUUUUGUCACUUUAAUUUUUACAUUAUCUCAGAAGUUUUCACUAGAUUUCAAUGUGCCACUUGUGCUAUGAGUAUUUAAGAAGCUUUAAAAAAUAAAUGCACACCUGUAGCCUUUUAGCGUUCAGACAGGUAGAUUAUAUUUACCUGUCAUGGGGGAUCAUAUAUGGUUGACAGUUGCAGGUUUGAUUAAAUCCACUAUAUUGCACAAAUUUUGCUGGAAAUAAUUUCCCGCCCUGCCAAGAGCUCUAUGGUAGUUUGAUAAUAAACUACUACCCCAGUAUUAUUAGAAACUGUGUUACUAAGUCUUUUCUGCCUGAUUUGUGCUUUACUUCCAUAGACCUCUCAGAUAUGUGAGGAAUCAAGCCAUAAAUGUGCAUUUGCUGGACAUUAUAUACCAUGUCAUCUCUGACUACAGAUUUCAAGGAUAAUUUUUACAUCUAACAAUUUCACUGUAACAGUGACCGAUAAUGUGAGAAAUGUGCUUUAUACAGUGCUGCUGGUGGAUAGACAAGUGCUUGCUGCAGUUGUUUCUUAAUCUAGACAGAUGCUGGAGUCGUGAAGCUGUAAGCUCUGCGGGAGCAGGGACCAUCUCUUUCUUGCACAACAGGCACUCAAUAAAUACUCGUGGCUGUGAA